UUCCCUUCGGGGGCAGGGGUGACAGGUGGUGCAUGGUUGUCGUCAGCUCGUGUCGUGAGAUGUUGGGUUAAGUCCCGCAACGAGCGCAACCCUUGUCCUUAGUUGCCAGCAUUUGGUUGGGCACUCUAGGGAGACUGCCGGUGACAAACCGGAGGAAGGUGGGGAUGACGUCAAAUCAUCAUGCCCCUUAUGAGUUGGGCUACACACGUGCUACAAUGGACGGUACAAAGGGCAGCGAAGCCGCGAGGUGGAGCCAAUCCCAGAAAGCCGUUCUCAGUUCGGAUUGCAGGCUGCAACUCGCCUGCAUGAAGUCGGAAUCGCUAGUAAUCGCAGGUCAGCAUACUGCGGUGAAUACGUUCCCGGGCCUUGUACACA
RNAcentral lists this ribosomal RNA (375 nucleotides) under Exiguobacterium sp. MGL19. Its description in RNAcentral is "bacterial SSU rRNA". It matches the Rfam family "Bacterial small subunit ribosomal RNA", at positions 1014 to 1389 of the family's 1533-position model. Lineage: Bacteria; Bacillati; Bacillota; Bacilli; Caryophanales. The record is from RNAcentral.